UUUAGGAAUAUAUAGACAUUUAGGAAUAUAUAGACAUUCAGGAAUAUAUAGACAUUUAGGAAUAUAUAGACAUUUAGGAAUAUAUAGACAUUUAGGAAUAUAUAGACAUUCAGGAAUAUAUAGACAUUUAGGAAUAUAUAGACAUUUAGGAAUAUAUAGACAUUUAGGAAUAUAUAGACAUUUAGGAAUAUAUAGACAUUUAGGAAUAUAUAGACAUUUAGGAAUAUAUAGACAUUUAGGAAUAUAUAGACAUUCAGGAAUAUAUAGACAUGUAGGAAUAUAUAGACAUUUAGGAAUAUAUAGACAUUUAGGAAUAUAUAGACAUUUAGGAAUAUAUAGACAUUAGCAGCCAUUAGUGCCAUUGUCAUGCAAUAUGAUGUAUAUAUUCAUAGAUUAUAAGGUGUUAUAAAUACACUUAUCCCACAUUAUUAAGGGUAUUCAUAGGAAGUGUUACCCACAGGUCCAGCAGAAGGAACUGUACCCCACAUCCCCACCUACUAGUGACAUUGUGAACAAUACCACAACUUUAGACAGGAAUUGUGUAGCUAUGUUGACAUUUGUGUUCACCGUUUCAUUAGAAUGUUUAACACAUUGAGAGUAUCGGUCAGGUCACAUGACUUUGACACCUUAUAACCUUAGUUUCAGAAAAGGUUCAUUUUCUUCACAUUAUAAUUAUUUGUUUACUUACUUGUAAUGUAUUUGAUAUGUCCUGUCUGUGGGUUGAUCUCAUAUAUUUAUGAAUGGCUUUCGCCUGAUGCUUUUUAUGGUUAGUUACCUUACAUAUGUAUUUAGUUUCAUUUCCUUAUUACAUUUUCAUUUCCAUUUUAUAGUACUAUGCAUUUUGACUGUUGGAUUGAUAUGAUCUGCUCAUACAUUUCCCUACAAGUGAGUGAGUUAAGACUAUUGUUUAGUGAACCACUCAGGUCUGAUGGAUACAGUUGUCCCUCAUACUCUCAUGUAUUAUUUGUAACAAACUUUCUGCAUGUUUCUGUAUGAGGAAACCUCUACAUUAUUGUCAUAUCUACUUUUUAGCCUGCAAGUUUAGGAGGGCUAUUCUGCAGAGUUUUGUGUGUUAUAUAAUAGAAAUGUAGAACCUAAGAUUACUUCUUAGUAUUAUAAUAUGCGUUUAAUUCCUUUUAUCAUUAAAACAUUCCUUUCCA
Long non-coding RNA from Oncorhynchus gorbuscha (pink salmon), 1160 nucleotides. RefSeq lists it as uncharacterized. The record is from RefSeq and is a predicted model, not a curated record. Lineage: Eukaryota; Metazoa; Chordata; Actinopteri; Salmoniformes; Salmonidae. The transcript has 2 exons.